AGAGUUUGAUCAUGGCUCAGAUUGAACGCUGGCGGCAUGCUUUACACAUGCAAGUCGAGCGGCAGGCGCGGGGGCAACCCUGGCGGCGAGCGGCGGACGGGUGAGUAAUGCAUCGGAACGUAUCCCGUAGUGGGGGACAACCCAGCGAAAGCUGGGCUAAUACCGCAUAUGCUCUACGGAGGAAAGUGGGGGGACCCGCAAGGGCCUCACGCUAUGGGAGCGGCCGAUGUCCGAUUAGCUAGUUGGUGGGGUAAAGGCCUACCAAGGCGACGAUCGGUAGCUGGUCUGAGAGGAUGAUCAGCCACACUGGGACUGAGACACGGCCCAGACUCCUACGGGAGGCAGCAGUGGGAAUUUGGACAAUGGGGGCAACCCUGAUCCAGCCAUGCCGCGUGCGGGAAGAAGGCCUUCGGGUUGUAAACCGCUUUUGUUCGGGAAGAAAAGGCACGUCCUAAUACGGCGUGUUCUUGACGGUACCGGAAGAAUAAGCACCGGCUAACUACGUG
RNAcentral lists this ribosomal RNA (506 nucleotides) under uncultured bacterium. Its description in RNAcentral is "bacterial SSU rRNA". It matches the Rfam family "Bacterial small subunit ribosomal RNA", at positions 8 to 507 of the family's 1533-position model. The record is from RNAcentral.